CCUACGGGGAGCUGCAGUGGGGAAUAUUGGACAAUGGGCGAAAGCCUGAUCCAGCCAUGCCGCGUGUGUGAAGAAGGCCUUCGGGUUGUAAAGCACUUUCAGUGGGGAAGAAAGCCUUGGGGCUAAUACCCUCGAGGAAGGACAUCACCCACAGAAGAAGCACCGGCUAACUCCGUGCCAGCAGCCGCGGUAAUACGGAGGGUGCGAGCGUUAAUCGGAAUUACUGGGCGUAAAGCGCGCGUAGGCGGUCUGAUAAGCCGGUUGUGAAAGCCCCGGGCUCAACCUGGGAACGGCAUCCGGAACUGUCAGGCUAGAGUGCAGGAGAGGAAGGUAGAAUUCCCGGUGUAGCGGUGAAAUGCGUAGAGAGCGGGAGGAAUACCAGUGGCGAAGGCGGCCUUCUGGACUGACACUGACGCUGAGGUGCGAAAGCGUGGGUAGCAAACAGGAUUAGAUAACCGAGUAGUC
Molecule: ribosomal RNA, 465 nt
Filed under: Vreelandella stevensii
Lineage: Bacteria; Pseudomonadati; Pseudomonadota; Gammaproteobacteria; Oceanospirillales; Halomonadaceae
Description: partial 16S ribosomal RNA
Rfam family: Bacterial small subunit ribosomal RNA
Source: RNAcentral